Molecule: long non-coding RNA, 903 nt
Organism: Myiozetetes cayanensis
Lineage: Eukaryota; Metazoa; Chordata; Aves; Passeriformes; Tyrannidae
Exons: 4
Source: RefSeq, a predicted model, not a curated record
AAGGGCGAGGAGAUGGCGGCGGGGGAUGUCUGCGCCCCCGGCCGGCCGCGGCCGCGUGUCAUUGCUACAGGCAGGGGGAUCAGGGUCGGGCGGCUGUGAGGGGGCUCUGCAAACGCUGUGGGUCUUCUUCGUCCGCCUCAGCUCCCGCAGGAGUCACGUCUGUGUUCCUUCUCCGGAGCUCUCGGGGUGUACGCGCGCGCCGCCUCUGGAGGGUGGGAAGCGCCUUUGAGAGCCAAGGCCUUUUCUGCUUUUUGUACUGCCCUGCUGGCACGAAAGCUGUGGCCACAUGGGAGGUUGGGAGGAGACAGCCAGGAUAGGUGACCUGAACUGACUGAAGGGAUAUCAUGGAAUCAUGCUCAGUGUAUAAAGUAGAAGGAAGAAGAAGGGGGGCGCAUUUGGAGUGAUGACAUUUGUCUUCCCGAGUCACCGUUACACGUGAUGGGGCCCUGCUCUUCUGGAGAUGGAUGAGCACCUGCCUGCCCAUGGGAAGCACUUCCAAGGCAAGGGAAGGAACAGCAAUCUGAGAUUUUACAAGAUAAAUGCAACAGCAAGAAGUUACUAACAGCGUUGAUUAUAAGCAGAGAGAAAACGGGUAGUAAAGCAAAAAGAAGAACCUCAAAGUUGUAAUAUGUCAGGUGGAUGUGAAACGUCUGUGUGCAUUUUCUGCCGAAAAAAUUAUUCUUCUGGCUUUUGUGUUAAGUCACUAAUAAAUUAUAUAUAGUUCCAGUUACUGUGUAUAUCCGUAAGUAUCCUUUUUUGUUGUUACCUCCAAAACAAGAAGGGUGUUUGUUAAAAUUGAGAUUUUUUUAAAGUAUAAAUUAAAAUUUAAUUUAGGAUGUCUUUAAUUUAAAUAGAAUUUAAAGCACAGCAUAGUCUAGGUUUUCAUAUUGUCGUUAUAAUAGU